GUGUCAGCAGCCGCGGUAAGACGAACCGAGCGAACGUUGUUCGGAAUCACUGGGCUUAAAGGGCGCGUAGGCGGCUUGCCAAGUCAGGGGUGAAAUCUUUCGGCUCAACCGGAAAAGUGCCUUUGAUACUGGCAGGCUCGAGCGAGGUAGGGGCAUGCGGAACUUCCGGUGGAGCGGUGAAAUGUGUUGAUAUCGGAAGGAACACCGAUGGCGAAAGCAGCGUGCUGGACCUCUUCUGACGCUGAGGCGCGAAAGCUAGGGUAGCGAACGGGAUUAGAUACCCCGGUAGUCC
Molecule: ribosomal RNA, 292 nt
Filed under: uncultured bacterium
Lineage: Bacteria
Description: partial 16S ribosomal RNA
Rfam family: Bacterial small subunit ribosomal RNA
Source: RNAcentral